Molecule: ribosomal RNA, 454 nt
Filed under: uncultured Pseudomonas sp.
Lineage: Bacteria; Pseudomonadati; Pseudomonadota; Gammaproteobacteria; Pseudomonadales; Pseudomonadaceae
Description: bacterial SSU rRNA
Rfam family: Bacterial small subunit ribosomal RNA
Source: RNAcentral
CGGAGGAGCAUGUUGGUUUAAUUCGAUGAUACGCGAGGAACCUUACCGUGGCUCGAACGUAAGAUGACUGUAGGUGAAAGCUUUACAUCUCUUCGGAGCAUUUUACGAGGUGCUGCAUGGUUGUCGUCAGCUCGUGCCGUGAGGUGUCGGGUUAAGUCCCAUAACGAGCGCAACCCCUAUCAUUAGUUGCCAUCAGGUCAAGCUGGGGACUCUAAUGAAACUGCCUACGCAAGUAGUGAGGAAGGUGGGGAUGACGUCAAGUCAUCAUGGCCCUUACGGCCUGGGCUACACACGUGCUACAAUGGUCGGUACAAAGGGUUGCCAAGCCGCGAGGUGGAGCUAAUCCCAUAAAACCGAUCGUAGUCCGGAUCGCAGUCUGCAACUCGACUGCGUGAAGUCGGAAUCGCUAGUAAUCGUGAAUCAGAAUGUCACGGUGAAUACGUUCCCGGGCCUU